This 1373-nucleotide long non-coding RNA is filed under the name Struthio camelus australis. RNAcentral's name for it is "lncRNA (ENSSCUG00000012713.1)". Lineage: Eukaryota; Metazoa; Chordata; Aves; Struthioniformes; Struthionidae. The record is from RNAcentral.
CAGGUUUUAGGAACAUGUGGACUAAUAUCUCGUUUGCAUCUGACAGGCUUCCUGGUAUUUUAUGGAACGAGAGAAAUGAGGCACAACGAGCCUGGCUAACAGCGAUGCUGCACGUGUUGGCCCUUUUCCACAAGCCCUCAGUAGUUUAUAAAGACGAAAGUUGUUUAUAAAGAUGAAAGUCACCUGGCUUUUGUAUCUCCUAAAUACCACCAAAAGGCACAUCCAGGAAGAAUCUUGCUCGAAGGUGUACAUUAGGACCACCGAGAAGAUGCUAACCUGGAGGCGGAAAUCACCCAUCAUCAGAUCAGCACUGGCUGAUCCAGUGCUCCAGGAGAACUGCACAUCUGUUGGAGUAUGCUGGGAAAAAUACUGAAUUCUCCCUCUGAAUCAUCUUUCCAGUGUAACAAUGGCUACAGUAUUUGUAGACAGGACAAAACAAAGUGUACUCUCCUACAUAGGAUGGAAUUUGACAGAGUACUGGUACCCAUGUACAUUUAUCAGCAUAGUAUCCCACACCUCCAAGAGAUAUCUCAGUUCUGAUAGUAUGCGCUGAUCCAAGCAACUCACAUAUUGAAGAUGAACUGUACUGCCAACUUGUGGUAUACAGAAUUCAUGAGUCAGACAUGGGAGCACAACAAGCUUAUGGGUUGAAAAAGUCACAACAUUUUUUCUUAAUUAAUUUCAGCUCUUCUAGUUAGCCUUUUGUUACUGAAUCUGGAUCAAUAGUUCUAGCUUUUCUCUAGCAUCAGAAGGACAAAAAAAUUACUUUUUUAUAUUUUUCUUUUUUAAAGAUAGCCAAGAAAAGGAAAACAUUCAGUGGCAUGGAAUUUGCAAAAAGAACGUAAGUUAUUAUCAAAACAUCUAGAACUGGCCUUCUGCCAGUGGCAAAAUAAGAAUUAUCUGCAGAAAGACUUCAACAUAGCAUACUGAAAAAGAACACAUUCCUAAAACUAUUAUAAAAAAUAAGUUACUCAUUAAGAACUAUCCAUCCAUGUCCGAAGUUGAUAGUUCCUUUUGUAACUACGGUGAGUAUUUUCUGUCAAUUGUACUUUUACAAAUCAAUUGGAAAGCAAUGUUUUAUAAAAUGAAAACCCAGAAGAAAACACAUCUAGUAAACAGGCUCCUUUGGAAAAUAUCUUUGUUAUGCUUCUCAGACUGGAUUUAAAUUUGUUUACAUCAACCUCUGCUUACAAUGUUUAUGUUAGACCUCUUAGAAUUUGUGGCUGACCUACAUCUGCAAACAAAACACUUGCUGCGUACUUGGGGGGAAGAAUUUGCAUGACAGAAGAUGAUGAGAAUAUGCAUAAUUGCAGAUGACAUUUUUCAUUCCUAAACCCCUGUUGUACAGACCUUUGGAACUGGCCAUGCAUGAA